CAGUAGCCGCGGGAAAACGGAGGGAGCUAGCGUUGUUCGGAAUUACUGGGCGUAAAGCGCGCGUAGGCGGUUACUCAAGUCAGAGGUGAAAGCCCGGGGCUCAACCCCGGAACUGCCUUUGAAACUAGGUGACUAGAAUCUUGGAGAGGUCAGUGGAAUUCCGAGUGUAGAGGUGAAAUUCGUAGAUAUUCGGAAGAACACCAGUGGCGAAGGCGACUGACUGGACAAGUAUUGACGCUGAGGUGCGAAAGCGUGGGGAGCAAACAGGAUUAGAUACCCGAGUAGUCCCUGUCUCUUAUAC
Molecule: ribosomal RNA, 301 nt
Filed under: uncultured bacterium
Lineage: Bacteria
Description: partial 16S ribosomal RNA
Rfam family: Bacterial small subunit ribosomal RNA
Source: RNAcentral